Molecule: transfer RNA, 68 nt
Filed under: Helina evecta
Lineage: Eukaryota; Metazoa; Arthropoda; Insecta; Diptera; Muscidae
Description: transfer RNA-Leu
Source: RNAcentral
UCUAAAUAUGGCAGAUUAGUGCAAUGAAUUUAAGCUUCAUAUAUAAAGAACUUAACUUUUAUUAGAAA